This 524-nucleotide unclassified non-coding RNA is filed under the name Hevea brasiliensis (rubber tree). The record is from RNAcentral. Lineage: Eukaryota; Viridiplantae; Streptophyta; Magnoliopsida; Malpighiales; Euphorbiaceae.
AAAAAAAACAAGAAACGGUUUCUUUGUUUUUGUUUGAUAUCUUUCUACCAAUUUAACCCUUCUACAAGUGCCCACUUUGCACCUUUGAAGAAACAACAANNAACUAAGGGCAGCCCCAGAAAUAAAGAAUCCCAGCUUUGGACACAACUAAACACAACUUUGUUUAUGAACAGGUGGCAGUGAAUUACAGAAACAGAAAGGCAUCAUUCAUUGGAUAGCAAAAGCAAAAUCUCGUUAAGAGAUGAUGAUGAUGGGUUAUUCUCCAAGUCGCUAUCUAGCCAUGGAUUGCUUGUCUGAGCAACACUGCAACCCAAUUCAGAUAUAUCUCUUUCCAAUCUCUCUCUCUCUCUCUCACUAAAACCAUCUAGGAGCUCAACAUGCAAUCAAACAUAGAAAUAACAGACAAUAAGAUGGUUUUUCCUCUAAACCCUCCCUAUAUAACCCUCUUCUCUCUAUACAUCUCUACUUAGGGAUACCAAGAAAAUGAAAGAGAAAUUAUAUAUCAGGAGCUGGGUCUCUUGUAG